This is a long non-coding RNA of Artibeus jamaicensis (Jamaican fruit-eating bat), 366 nucleotides long. RefSeq lists it as uncharacterized. NCBI's taxonomy places the organism in Eukaryota, Metazoa, Chordata, Mammalia, Chiroptera, Phyllostomidae. The record is from RefSeq and is a predicted model, not a curated record. The transcript is spliced from 3 exons.
AUCGCAAACAGCUGAGAGACAUCUGAAUUUGAGGAGGCUUUGAGGUGUGGAAUGGAAGAUGACUCAGCCAGUGCAGAUUGACAGGUUGAAGGCAAAGUGGGAAUGAGGACACCUUGGAUGGAUGCCAUCACCUGCAGCCAUCCAAUCAACACGCAUCUAUAAACUGCCCGUUGUGUGUAUGGUGCUGUGUGAGGUGCUGGGAACACCCGGUUGAGAAAGAAGUGGCUGUCAUCCUUGUGAAGCUUAGCUGCUAAUGAAAGACAAGCCUUGAACCCACUAAGAAUGCAACUGUAAUGGAUUUCCAGGGACAUGAUGCCUGAAGGACUCUAGUGGGGACAAAGGCCUCUGAUGCCCUUUGGACAGACG